AUUGAACGCUGGCGGCAGGCCUAACACAUGCAAGUCGAGCGGAUGAAGGGAGCUUGCUCCUGGAUUCAGCGGCGGACGGGUGAGUAAUGCCUAGGAAUCUGCCUGGUAGUGGGGGAUAACGUCCGGAAACGGGCGCUAAUACCGCAUCCGUCCUGAGGGAGAAAGUGGGGGAUCUUCGGACCUCACGCUAUCAGAUGAGCCUAGGUCGGAUUAGCUAGUUGGUGGGGUAAAGGCCUACCAAGGCGACGAUCCGUAACUGGUCUGAGAGGAUGAUCAGGCACACUGGAACUGAGACACGGUCCAGACUCCUACGGGAGGCAGCAGUGGGGAAUAUUGGACAAUGGGCGAAAGCCUGAUCCAGCCAUGCCGCGUGUGUGAAGAAGGUCUUCGGAUUGUAAAGCACUUUAAGUUGGGAGGAAGGGCAGUAAGUUAAUACCUUGCUGUUUUGACGUUACCAACAGAAUAAGCACCGGCUAACUUCGUG
RNAcentral lists this ribosomal RNA (484 nucleotides) under uncultured bacterium. Its description in RNAcentral is "partial 16S ribosomal RNA". It matches the Rfam family "Bacterial small subunit ribosomal RNA", at positions 30 to 507 of the family's 1533-position model. The record is from RNAcentral.